UGAACGCUGGCGGCAGGCCUAACACAUGCAAGUCGAACGGUAACAGGAAGAAGCUUGCUUCUUUGCUGACGAGUGGCGGACGGGUGAGUAAUGUCUGGGAAACUGCCUGAUGGAGGGGGAUAACUACUGGAAACGGUAGCUAAUACCGCAUAACGUCGCAAGACCAAAGAGGGGGACCUUCGGGCCUCUUGCCAUCGGAUGUGCCCAGAUGGGAUUAGCUUGUUGGUGGGGUAACGGCUCACCAAGGCGACGAUCCCUAGCUGGUCUGAGAGGAUGACCAGCCACACUGGAACUGAGACACGGUCCAGACUCCUACGGGAGGCAGCAGUGGGGAAUAUUGCACAAUGGGCGCAAGCCUGAUGCAGCUAUGCCGCGUGUAUGAAGAAGGCCUUCGGGUUGUAAAGUACUUUCAGCGGGGAGGAAGGGAGUAAAGUUAAUACCUUUGCUCAUUGACGUUACCCGCAGAAGAAGCACCGGCUAACUCCGUGCCAGCAGCCGCGGUAAUACGGAGGGUGCAAGCGUUAAUCGGAAUUACUGGGCGUAAAGCGCACGCAGGCGGUUUGUUAAGUCAGAUGUGAAAUCCCCGGGCUCAACCUGGGAACUGCAUCUGAUACUGGCAAGCUUGAGUCUCGUAGAGGGGGGUAGAAUUCCAGGUGUAGCGGUGAAAUGCGUAGAGAUCUGGAGGAAUACCGGUGGCGAAGGCGGCCCCCUGGACGAAGACUGACGCUCAGGUGCGAAAGCGUGGGGAGCAAACAGGAUUAGAUACCCUGGUAGUCCACGCCGUAAACGAUGUCGACUUGGAGGUUGUGCCCUUGAGGCGUGGCUUCCGGAGCUAACGCGUUAAGUCGACCGCCUGGGGAGUACGGCCGCAAGGUUAAAACUCAAAUGAAUUGACGGGGGCCCGCACAAGCGGUGGAGCAUGUGGUUUAAUUCGAUGCAACGCGAAGAACCUUACCUGGUCUUGACAUCCACAGAACUUUCCAGAGAUGGAUUGGUGCCUUCGGGAACUGUGAGACAGGUGCUGCAUGGCUGUCGUCAGCUCGUGUUGUGAAAUGUUGGGUUAAGUCCCGCAACGAGCGCAACCCUUAUCCUUUGUUGCCAGCGGUCCGGCCGGGAACUCAAAGGAGACUGCCAGUGAUAAACUGGAGGAAGGUGGGGAUGACGUCAAGUCAUCAUGGCCCUUACGACCAGGGCUACACACGUGCUACAAUGGCGCAUACAAAGAGAAGCGACCUCGCGAGAGCAAGCGGACCUCAUAAAGUGCGUCGUAGUCCGGAUUGGAGUCUGCAACUCGACUCCAUGAAGUCGGAAUCGCUAGUAAUCGUGGAUCAGAAUGCCACGGUGAAUACGUUCCCGGGCCUUGUACACACCGCCCGUCACACCAUGGGAGUGGGUUGCAAAAGAAGUAGGUAGCUUAACCUUCGGGAGGGCGCUUACCACUUUGUGAUUCAUGACUGG
Molecule: ribosomal RNA, 1458 nt
Filed under: uncultured organism
Description: 16S ribosomal RNA
Rfam family: Bacterial small subunit ribosomal RNA
Source: RNAcentral